This is a non-coding RNA of Parasteatoda tepidariorum (common house spider), 216 nucleotides long. The record is from RefSeq and is a predicted model, not a curated record. NCBI's taxonomy places the organism in Eukaryota, Metazoa, Arthropoda, Arachnida, Araneae, Theridiidae.
CCGCUUGAUUUCAAACUUUCUUAUUGACUUCAAUUCACAAAUUCAAGAUGAACUCACGAAUUGCUAUCUUCUUGUUCUUUAUUAUUGCUGCAUUAGCGAUAUCAGCUACGUUUGGUGAUUCUGAUGUGAUAGACCAGUUAAAACAAGCUGGUUUGGACUCUGAAAUGGCAAGUGAACUCGAAAAUGUCAUUGAACAGCUGCAACAGUAGUAAGUAA